GUUUCCUAAGGUAUUCAUGUUCACUGUUUCCUAAGGUAUUCAUGUUCUCUGUUUCCUAAGGUAUUCAUGUUCUCUGUUUCCUAAGGUAUUCCUGUUCUCUGUUUACUAAGAUAUUCAUGUUAACCGU
Xenia sp. Carnegie-2017 is the source of this 127-nucleotide long non-coding RNA. RefSeq lists it as uncharacterized. The record is from RefSeq and is a predicted model, not a curated record. The transcript is spliced from 3 exons. Lineage: Eukaryota; Metazoa; Cnidaria; Anthozoa; Malacalcyonacea; Xeniidae.